Long non-coding RNA from Thrips palmi, 6467 nucleotides. RefSeq lists it as uncharacterized. Lineage: Eukaryota; Metazoa; Arthropoda; Insecta; Thysanoptera; Thripidae. The transcript is spliced from 12 exons. The record is from RefSeq and is a predicted model, not a curated record.
UCCGAGGCAGCCAGCCAGCCAGCCAGCCAGCCAGCCAGCCAGCCGGUGCAAGAACAAGAACAGUUAUUGUUUACGGAUAGCGAAUUAUAUUCUGUAUUUACCGUUACUAAGGUGAAUCGAGCUGAUUGUUCUUCAUAUUACUAUCCGAGUUUUUUAUGAGGCGCGUGUGUGCAUUGGGAAGGUUUGUGAAGAAAGUGUUGGUCAGUGCCAUAAAGUUUGAAUCGCAAGAGACGGCCGUUGUUCACUAUUGAAGUUUUUGGCAUUUACGGAGCACGGCGCCAAUCAGGAUUCGUUCUCAUCAUGACAACGGGGAUGUGCGUUUUAAUUGCUGAUGGUGCAUUUCUUCUUGAGAGUUUGUGGCCCUCUACAGUCCAGACUGUGUGCAACUGCUUCUAGCCUAGCGAGCAACAGGUCAAGGAUUCUUUUUAUGCAGAGGCCUAGGUGUCGUUGUGAUGUCGUUCUUACUGGAAUGCAACUGUUCAGAUUGGGCCGCUGGUUUCCACCUCGAGACUAUAUCAUUAUUUAAUUGGAGAUAAAACUAUUUUGUCAGACUGAUCGGAAUUCUGCGGACUGUGUAGACUUGUGUGAUGGUUUGCUCGCUGAGGUAAUCAGCUCGCUUUCACAAUGCCCUGGUGUCCUCAGUCUUGAGAUACUUAGAGAUCAGACCAACGAGUAAGGUUAGCGGGAUUUUAGGAGCCGCCUGGUCUCCAUUCGAUGGAUGGGGGCUGUUUCAAAAUCAGUAACUUAUGACAUUAUGAGGAGGGAGAGAGCGUGUCCAGAGAUUACCAGACAAAGAGAAGGAGACUUACAUGAGAACUUCAGGGUGCAGCUGCUGCUGCUGCGAAACUAAUUUGCUUUGAGAUCAUCACAAGAUAGUUGAGUCUGCCUCCGUGAAGGUUUAGAGCUAUGCUCUUUCAUGUGACUAGACUGCAUUCAUCCCAUUGGAUCUUCACUAAUGGCCUCAGUUCUACUCUCCAUCAGUCAGUGCUGAGCAAUGAUCAUAUCGAGUUGUGUAGUAGGGUAGGUCAACUGAGUCAAUUUGGAUUCAGGUGAAGGGAAGUGGGCAUAUCUUGGGAAAGGAGUCACCGUCACCAAUAGAGCUUGUUCCAUUUGCUACAUGAAGUAUUGGGAGGCUAUAGUUUCAAUUAAAAAGAGGCUGCGUUCCCAAUGAACGUCUUGGUUUAGAUUGAGAUAUAAUGCAUUGUACAGCUUAACCUUUUAAUCAAUCCAUGACUUGUGUCCUGCGUUUAAUGUGGCGCACCCUUCUUCCCUCCAAAUACUUCCUGGUCUGAUCCCUCCUCUGCACUUUCCACCAAUUGUCUGUCCAAUCCAGUGGGCAAGUCUCUUCUUGAGGCUAAGAUUGUGACGCGCGAUCUGCUGGCCUGGCUCUGCGUCAAUGUGUUGCUGCCUUUACUGGGAUACAAGUUACGGAGUUGUGUAGCUGAAUGCACCAGCAUUGAUCCUAAUCUUUAGUAAAAAAAGUCCUCUCAUUGUGAUUAGGUAAUGAAAAAGCACCCCUCGGUCUCUCCUAUUGUUUUGCCCAGGCCACUGAUUAUCUCUGUAUUGUAGAGUUGGCCAGAAACUGUUUUCAGGUGCCAAAUUAUUUUUAUUUUUACUAUCAUAAUUAUAUCUGAGUGCUUGUCAGACAGCAGUUUAAGUAUGACUCUAAUAUAUGUGGAAAUUGGGCAUGGAUACAGCCAUGGACUGCCACCGGUGAAAGCCAUUGAACUGAGCAGCCCUCUUAGUGAAAGAGAAGUGCAUUUGUGAUGUUUUCCUCAGCUUUUGGCCCUGCAUGUAGGGAAACUGUGUGUUUUCAGGAUAAUCUUUGUAAAUGUUUGUAACCUACUCUACUUUUAUUGAGAUGAUCGACAAAUUUCUUUGUAAGCGCUGGCCACAGCAGAAGCAGUGGGGCGCCAACGUAGGAUUUGACCCAACUUGGUCACAAUCUCAUUUAAAGCAUUUUAUUCAAAGCAUUUGUUGAGAACAAUAGAUGGAGAAUUGAAUGUUGAUCCAGUUUGUGCUUGGGGGAAAGGGAGGCAUUUACAGGCAAUAUUAGUUUUUUUAGCUUUUUUUAUUUAACUAUAGGAUGACUCUCUCUAUGUAUCAUUGAGGUCGACUCACAUGCUCCGACUGAUUUUCCCACCGAGUAAUUGAGAUCCUCAGUUUCCUCAUCGGGUAGUCAGUGCUGGGCAAUGAUCAUAAAGAGUUGUGUAGCCUGCUAGGUCGCCUGAGUCUAAUGAGAUUCAAGCGAAGGGAAGUGGGUCUAUCUUGGGGGAUGAUUUUGCCGGAGUGAGAAGCCAAUGAGCAUUCAUGGCCAUGCAUCUUUCACAGCUUUUGGCACUGCUUGCAGGGAAACUGUGUGAUGUUUUCAGGAUAAUCUUUGUAAAUGUUUGUGUCCUGCUCCAAUUUUAUUAAGAUGAUCGACAAAUUUCUUUGUAAGCGCUGGCCACAGCAGAAGCAGUGGAGUGCCAACGUGGGAUUUGAUGGGAAACUCAGUCAUGGGGCUGGAGUGAGAGCCAAUGAGCAUUCAUGGCCAUGCAUCUUUCACAGCUUUUGGCACUGCUUGUAGGGAAACUGUGUGAUGUUUUCAGGAUAAUCUUUGUAAAUGUUUGUGUCCUGCUCCAAUUUUAUUAAGAUGAUCGACAAAUUUCUUUGUAAGCGCUGGCCACAGCAGAAGCAGUGGAGUGCCAACGUGGGAUUUGAUGGGAAACUCAGUCAUGGGGCUGGAGUGAGAGCCAAUGAGCAUUCAUGGCCAUGCAUCUUUCACAGCUUUUGGCACUGCUUGCAGGGAAACUGUGUGAUGUUUUCAGGAUAAUCUUUGUAAAUGUUUGUGUCCUGCUCCAAUUUUAUUAAGAUGAUCGACAAAUUUCUUUGUAAGCGCUGGCCACAGCAGAAGCAGUGGAGUGCCAACGUGGGAUUUGAUGGGAAACUCAGUCAUGGGGCUGGAGUGAGAGCCAAUGAGCAUUCAUGGCCAUGCAUCUUUCACAGCUUUUGGCACUGCUUGUAGGGAAACUGUGUGAUGUUUUCAGGAUUAUCUUUGUAAAUGUUUGUGUCCUGCUCCAAUUUUAUUAAGAUGAUCGACAAAUUUCUUUGUAAGCGCUGGCCACAGCAGAAGCAGUGGAGUGCCGACGUGGGAUUUGACCCAACUUGAUCACAAUCUCAUUUAAGGUGCCGCAGUGAGAAGCAAUCAACAUUUGAUCCAAAGUGGACACACAUGCUUGGAGGCUAAAGUUGAUACAGGGCCUUGCUCGUGAGACUGGAUUGUGCAUUUCCAACUGGAUAACUUCUUCACCUCGGCAUGACUGUAUUUACAACUCCUCUUCUUCGUGCUGGAUUUUGGAGGAGGGCAAAUCACCAGUAUUGUUGGCAAACAGAAUGUGAUGAUAUCCUUUUACAGUCAAUUAAUCCAAGAGGCAAUUAUCUGGGGUAGUUGGUGCAUGGAUCAGCUGUCAGGUUACUGUGGGAUGGAAGCUCUUGUUUGUCUGAGAGGACUCUGGGUUCACUUUGGUGCUGUUGAAACAGCUCUGUUUUAAAGCAUUUGUUGAGAACAAUAGAUGGAGAAUUGAAUGUUGAUUCAGUUUGUGCUUGAGGGAAAGGGAGGCAUUUACAGGCAAUGUUAGUUUUUUUACCUUUUUUUAUUUAACUAUAGGAUGACGCUCUCUAUGUAUCAUUGAGGUCGACUCACAUGCUCCGACUGAUUUUCCCACCGAGUAAUUGAGAUCCUCAGUUUCCUCAUCGGGUAGUCAGUGCUGGGCAAUGAUCAUAAAGAGUUGUGUAGCCUGCUAGGUCGCCUGAGUCUAAUGAGAUUCAAGCGCAGGGAAGUGGGUCUAUCUUGGGGGAUGAUUUUGCAUCUCCAAUAGAUACACAAAUCGUUUUCUAACUUCAAUCGCCUGCUUGAUUACUGUCUGGUUUUCUCGGCACUUUCUGGUCGCUUAUUCAACACCGCUGUGAAGAAUUUUAUCGGGUCAUCAUUCCGACUGCCCAGUGCCAAGUGAACUUUCCACCGCAGGCCUUCAGAGUGGUUUCUUUAACGCUCUCCUUUUUAUGCCUGUGCUCCAUGACGCAGCUAUCAUCUUUGCCACUGAUUAGAGGCCUCAGCCUAACAGGAAGCUUUCCCAAUGUAAUGCAGUCUGUGAACACCCAAUGGGUUGAGAUUGGAUCGAACGGAGUGGAUUUGAUAGGAACAGGCCAACAUCAGGCUUAAAGUUAGUCUGUGUCUGGGACAGAGGAGGGGCUCUGCCUCUUUCUGGAACUGGCUCACUGGAUUGCAUUCUUCCCAUUGGGCACCUAUGGCCUCAUUAAAUCUACUACUCUUCAUCUUCCCCCUGGACUCAAGGGGCACAACAGGAGCACAACUCACCAGGAUUGUUGGCUAGGAAGAUGUGAUAAUAACUAUUUACUCUACUCAGUUUUAAAAAUAGACUUAAGGAGCUAUCUGGUGCCUGUCCCAAAUUGUUUGGGACAUGUGUGUUGGAAAUUUGGAUUACAGCAGAGCCAACUUUGGGCAAUUUCACAUGGCCUACUGAAACUGGCCUAGUUUUUCAGACUGAUGUGCAUUGUUGACAUUUUAAUUAGGAAAUUGCUGUAGCGAGGUCCUCGGAAUAAGACCCCUGCCCCCCCCUCUCCCUCUCUCUCUCUCUCUCUCUCUCUCUCUCUCUCUCUGCCGCCCCAGGUGCGAGCCGUGGCAACGAGCCUUGGCAACCCUAGUGGGUCCUUUACUAUAGGCUUAUUAAUCACUUGCAGUAGUGUGGUCCUCGGAAUGGUACCCCUCUGCCACCCCAGGUGCGAGCCGUGGCAACGAGCCUUGGCAACCCUAGUGGGUCCUUUACUAUAGGCUUAUUAAUCACUUGCAGUAGUGUGGUCCUCGGAAUGGUACCCCUCUGCCGCCCCAGGUGCGAGCCGUGGCAACGAGCCUUGGCAACCCUAGUGGGUCCUUUACUAUAGGCUUAUUAAUUACUUGCAGUAGUGUGGUCCUCGGAAUGGUACCCCUCUGCCACCCCAGGUGCGAGCCGUGGCAACGAGCCUUGGCAACCCUAGUGGGUCCUUUACUAUAGGCUUAUUAAUUACUUGCAGUAGUGUGGUCCUCGGAAUAGUACCCCUCUGCCACCCCAGGUGCGAGCUGUGGCAACGAGCCUUGGCAACCCUAGUGGGUCCUUUACUAUAUACUUAUUAAUUACUUGCAGUAGUGUGGUCCUCGGAAAGGCACCCCUCUGCCGCCCCUUGCGAGAGCCGCGACCCCGUGUCACGGCCGCUUGAGUGGUUUUGAUUUCUUACAUUUUAAACAAAGUGUAUGCUGACUUCACAUAUUACCUUUCCUUACUCCUCUUGCCUGUGGGACUGUUUCGAUGGGUUCUACAUGUGUCUCCUACCAUCUCUUGCACCUUAGUGCCGCUGUCUCCUUUCAGCAGAUAUACAUGGUCAAUUGCUCUGGUUUAGAUGGGAAAGUUCUUAUUUCCUUUAACAUGUUAGUUAAAUUUUUGGAGGGGGAGGGGAUUAACUUCUACUGAAAUAACUGCUGUCCUGGGCUCUGCUUUGUCAUAACUGUGCAGGACGUUAAUUUCAAUUAUCUUUACUCACUUUUUUAAAUAAUAAUUGGGCACGAUACUUGCUUCUUGCUUGUAAACGAAUUGAAUCAAGGGGAUGUAUUAUAAGGAAUUUGAAGCUAAAUUCGAACUAUGAUGGCUGAAUUUUCUUAUCAUUAUGGGUAUGUUUUCUAUUUCCUGUUGUCUUUGCUGUACUUUCUUUCCCACAGGCCUUACUCUGGCUUCAUCACAUUGGAUUGUCAGCCCUCCCUUCCGGGUGUUUAGGAAUAGAUAACUUAACCAAAUGAAAGGUGGAAUGGAGGACUUCACGAUGUCUACUUGGUGGCUUUCCUGUACUCUGGGAAGAAUGUGUGUCAGCGUUCCAAGAGUCCAAUGGAUGAUACUUUUCUUAAACCCAGAUAGGUCCAUAUAUGUCAGUUGAACUAAACUCAGCUACCUUCAAGAUGACUUGCAGACGCCAUUUUAACUUCUGCUAAGUCUGUGUACGGAUGUCUUGCAUCAUCACUGAACAAUAUCUCCCGGAUGCCCUACAGAUCUAGCAGGAUGCCACAAAGCAACAGCUCAAGCAAACCUUUUUAUUUCAUUAUUAUCUGAUCUGUUUCCCAGUACCAAAUAAUAUGUUGCCCACUUACCUACUUCAAUCAACUAUCUGUAACAUUUCUUCCCAGGCUUGUCAUGUUACUAAAUAUUCGUAGCCACGCACCGUUUCUGUUUGAGCUACAAUUUUUCUUUAAUUCCGUCAUAAGAUUUAUCAUAACCUGCUCUUAUUUCUGUCUGUGUUAUUAAUUUGUACUAUGUUUCAUAAAAUAAAUGUGCAACUGUGAAUUGCAUCCAUCUACGUUAUUUCUAGUCUUCAUACUUGGUGAGAGGGGUAGGCCACCCCAGAGAGAAUUAGUUGCCUUCAGUCUGGAAAGAUAUACGAGA